UGCGCCUACACUUGGCACUUUGCCAACCCGCCAUAAUGGAUGUUUUCUCUAAGCUAUAACCUUCGAAACUGCGGUACAUAAACGUGACUAAUACGCAAGUCAAAUACUAUAUGCAAUCGCUAUUUUCUUUUGAUGUAGCAAAAAUAAAGCAAAAAGGUAACAAAAACUAAGCAAAUGUAAAUAGAACAUUCAUGGGCAUUGCUAACUGCCACUAACUUUGGGGUAGCUAGGCCUACACACGUUGUAAAUUAAAUAUCUUUAAUCAUAAGUCACUGGUAUUUUGAAUUUGACGACAUAGCUUUGUGAAGAAUCGUACAUAAGCAACUGGAGGAGUUCAGGGCCACAAAAUCUGAUGCAUGAUUCGGGUUCAGUGAUCCUGAAAAUCUUCCAGACGCCAUCGUGCUAGGGUGGCUUUCCAGGGACGUUUUAGCCCCCCCUUAGUAGGGGACUACGCCAUAUAGAUAAGGACAUCCCCUGGAUCCUCCUGAGUCUGUCUGCCAAGUCUGAUCUUGAUAGAUCCAAAACUGUGGGAGGAGUUCUCGGACGAAAAAAGAAGAAGAAGAAGAGACAGCUUCAGAAGCAGAUUGUGAAUUAAUAUCAUAUCAAUGAUGACGUUUUGAUCAUCAGCAAAACUUAGUUGUUUUUAAUUAAUGCACGAAAUUUCAUAACUUCAUGUUAACAGUUAUUGCCUUUACUAGUGUUCAAGAAAUUUUAAAAGAAAUGUAUAUACAAGGCCCUGGUGCUUUUUGUUUUGCUUUUUUAAAAUAAAGAAAUACAGAAUUAAACUGGUUUUAUCCCACACUGCUCUAUUUCGUUUAUUCAAUUAUGGUCCUCCGGGCUUGCUCUAGUAGUUACAAUGCCGGACUAUGAAUAUGUGGUUCCAGGGUUGACGUCCUGUAAAACGCGCGUUAUAAGAGUGAUACUCAAAUCCCACUAUUCGAUCAGAAUAGACCAAUAGUACUGUCGAGUAGCUUGUCUUCCUUCUAGUUCGUCAGUUCAGUAAUGGGAAUGGCUAGGACAAAUAACCCUCGUGUAGCUUUGCGCAAAAAAUAUCCAAAAAACAAACAAAAAUCUUAAAGUUAUGACGCAAGAUAAGGUAGUUGAACGGGAAAAACCAUUCGAAAUGUUGUUAAUUUUUUAAUGGCUCCAACAAAAACGUUUUCUAAAUGUUUAUGUAACAAUGAAAAAAUUCCUAUUCCCAUAGUUUCAUUCGCGGCUUAACGUAAUACGAAUCAUGUGAAAUAUCUGUCACUUCGAAACGAUUUCCUACAACUUAGCGCAAAAAAAAGAGCAAAGAGCGUUUCACAUCUUUCUCGUGAUUUAUUUUGCCAGCCAUUAAAAAGUAAAGUAUAAAAAACAAAAAACAUGAGAGUAGGCUCAACAAUGACCAGAAACCGAGAUCCCAUAAUAAUAAAAAAGACAUGAUUUAAAGAACGAUUGGUGACAAACUGAAAAUUUUUAAAACAAGCGUUAUUAUGACUUUGCUAGUUUACAUGUGCGUUUCCAUGAGAAUAUUAUUAAAAAUGUAUGUACGUAUAAUUGUGAAGAACCACUGAGUAUAAUCUGUUGUAACAUCAAUGUUGUCUGACAGCAAAAUUUUGCGAAGAAGAAGAGAUUAUUUUAUUUAAAAACAUCACGAGGAUGCAUAGAAAUAAUUGCUUUUCAAAUAUUUUGUAAUAUGAAAUAAUAUUUUUAUUUUUCCGGCUAUUGCUUUCACUUGUGCAUUUGAGCAAACAUGAAACGCAUGAUUUCAUUUUCAAGGUAUUCCUGUAGAUAUAUAUUUUGCUUUUUGUAUUUAAUUCAUUCUUACACUGGUUUGUAUGUAAAUGUCUUCGGAGAAUCUCAUGGCGUAAAAUAAAAAUAUAUAUAUAUAUAA
RNAcentral lists this long non-coding RNA (1876 nucleotides) under Limulus polyphemus (Atlantic horseshoe crab). Its description in RNAcentral is "uncharacterized LOC111086087". The record is from RNAcentral. Lineage: Eukaryota; Metazoa; Arthropoda; Merostomata; Xiphosura; Limulidae.